This is an RNA transcript of Arachis duranensis, 647 nucleotides long. RefSeq lists it as uncharacterized. The transcript is spliced from 3 exons. The record is from RefSeq and is a predicted model, not a curated record. Lineage: Eukaryota; Viridiplantae; Streptophyta; Magnoliopsida; Fabales; Fabaceae.
CAAAUUCUCCACAGCUUCUCCUCAAAGAUUUGAAGCACUCAUAAAAAGAAAACAAACAAACAAACAAACAAACAACACCCAUAAUUUUGAAACCAUGUCUUUCUCAAAGAAAUUGCCUUUGGUUCUCUUGUUUUCUUCCCUUUUCAUCCAUGCAUCUUUAGGUGAGUUGGUAUGUGAGGAAAUUCACCGGCAAGCUUUGCUCCCCAGCUUGUUACAAGAAUUGCCCUAACAUUGUUGACCUUUUCUUCAACUUGGCUGCUGGAGAGGGAGUGUAUUUGCCAGAGCUAUGUGAGAAGCACAAGACAAACCCACACCGAGUCAUGGUUGAGUUAAUGAGUUCAGGAGUUGCAGCCCCAGGACCUGUUUCUAAUAAUCUCUCUGAAGAUAUUUCAUCAGUAUCUGCUCCUUCUCCACAGUGAUCAUCAUCAUUCUUUUUCACUUUUCUUUUCAAGAGAUGGUGCAUAUUUUAAUGGGUUGGAUUCGGAUUUAAACAUUGGUGUUGAUAUAGAAUUUAGCAUAUAUAACUAGUUAUAUAUUUAUUAUCUAAAUUUGUCAAAUUUUGAAAAUAUUGUUAGUCCUCUUUUUGAGAGAGAUGAUAUGAACUUUAAUACAAUAAGAAAAGUGCUGUUCUCGGUACUAGAUACAAA